Molecule: unclassified non-coding RNA, 374 nt
Filed under: uncultured Actinomycetes bacterium
Lineage: Bacteria; Bacillati; Actinomycetota; Actinomycetes
Description: uncultured actinobacterium contains 16S-23S intergenic spacer region
Source: RNAcentral
UCCGAGUUGACCCCGGCAGUCUCCUAUGAGUCCCCGCCAUAACGCGCUGGCAACAUAGAACGAGGGUUGCGCACGUUGCGGGACUUAACCCAACAUCUCACGACACGAGCUGACGACAACCAUGCACCACCUGUAAACCGACCGCAAGCGGGGCACCUGUUUCCAGGUCUUUCCGGUUCAUGUCAAGCCUUGGUAAGGUUCUUCGCGUUGCAUCGAAUUAAUCCGCAUGCUCCGCCGCUUGUGCGGGCCCCCGUCAAUUCCUUUGAGUUUCACCCUUGCGGGCGUACUCCCCAGGUGGAUUACUUAACGCUUUCGCUAAGACGCCGACAGUUUAUCGCCGACAUCGAGUAAUCAUCGUUUACAGCGUGGACUAC